AGUAGACGCUGCGGCGUGCCUAAUACAUGCAAGUCGAGCGAACUGAUUAGAAGCUUGCUUCUAUGACGUUAGCGGCGGACGGGUGAGUAACACGUGGGCAACCUGCCUGUAAGACUGGGAUAACUCCGGGAAACCGGAGCUAAUACCGGAUAACAUUUUCUCUUGCAUAAGAGAAAAUUGAAAGAUGGUUUCGGCUAUCACUUACAGAUGGGCCCGCGGUGCAUUAGCUAGUUGGUGAGGUAACGGCUCACCAAGGCAACGAUGCAUAGCCGACCUGAGAGGGUGAUCGGCCACACUGGGACUGAGACACGGCCCAGACUCCUACGGGAGGCAGCAGUAGGGAAUCUUCCGCAAUGGACGAAAGUCUGACGGAGCAACGCCGCGUGAGUGAUGAAGGCUUUCGGGUCGUAAAACUCUGUUGUUAGGGAAGAACAAGUACAAGAGUAACUGCUUGUACCUUGACGGUACCUAACCAGAAAGCCACGGCUAACUACGUGCCAGCAGCCGCGGUAAUAA
RNAcentral lists this ribosomal RNA (516 nucleotides) under Bacillus sp. (in: firmicutes). Its description in RNAcentral is "bacterial SSU rRNA". It matches the Rfam family "Bacterial small subunit ribosomal RNA", at positions 29 to 526 of the family's 1533-position model. Lineage: Bacteria; Bacillati; Bacillota; Bacilli; Caryophanales; Bacillaceae. The record is from RNAcentral.